Molecule: long non-coding RNA, 273 nt
Filed under: Panax ginseng (ginseng)
Lineage: Eukaryota; Viridiplantae; Streptophyta; Magnoliopsida; Apiales; Araliaceae
Description: long non-coding RNA (PGIN_LNC003034)
Source: RNAcentral
UUUUAUCGGCUGCAACAGUAUCUACAGUACUGGAUAGCGAGUCAGAUGAUGUAGAGCCCAUGGAGGACAUUUAUUCCUACAUAGAGGAGGAGCCCGCUGCUGGGUUGCCAGCAUUUCCUCCGAAUUCUCCCAGUACCAGUACUGUUGUGAUUCAGCACUCGGCACAGUACUUUGAGUAGAGUCUUCAUCCGAUGAACUUUGAGAGAGAUUAGGCUUGAUCUAUGAUGUUGACUAUCCUUGAUGGGAGAGACGCAGCUCUAUUAGAGAGAGACG